UAGGGAAUAUUGGGCAAUGGGCGCAAGCCUGACCCAGCAACGCCGCGUGAGGGAAGAAGGUUUUCGGAUUGUAAACCUCUGUCCUAUGUGACGAAGGAAGUGACGGUAGCAUAGGAGGAAGCCCCGGCUAACUACGUGCCAGCAGCCGCGGUAACACGUAAGUUGCGAGCGUUGUUCGGAAUUAUUGGGCGUAAAGGGUAUGUAGGCGGUUCUGCAAGUCUGGUGUGAAAUGCCGGGGCUCAACCCCGGAACUGCGUUGGAAACUGCAGGACUUGAAUCGCUGAGGGGCAGCCAGAAUUCCAGGUGUAGGGGUGAAAUCUGUAGAUAUCUGGAAGAAUACCAAUGGCGAAGGCAGGCUGCCAGCAGAUGAUUGACGCUGAGGUACGAAGGUGCGGGGAGCAAACAGGAUUAGAUACCCUGGUAGU
This 425-nucleotide ribosomal RNA is filed under the name uncultured Treponema sp. RNAcentral's name for it is "bacterial SSU rRNA". It matches the Rfam family "Bacterial small subunit ribosomal RNA", at positions 355 to 794 of the family's 1533-position model. Lineage: Bacteria; Pseudomonadati; Spirochaetota; Spirochaetia; Treponematales; Treponemataceae. The record is from RNAcentral.